This is a long non-coding RNA of Trifolium pratense (red clover), 2220 nucleotides long. RefSeq lists it as uncharacterized. Lineage: Eukaryota; Viridiplantae; Streptophyta; Magnoliopsida; Fabales; Fabaceae. The record is from RefSeq and is a predicted model, not a curated record. The transcript has 5 exons.
UGAGUCACUUUCAAACGUAAUAUGUUGUCCACGAAGGUUGCAUGUACUGUGAACAGACAACAUAUUACGUUUGGUUACUUACCUUUUUGAAUUUUCUGAAUAUUGAAAUUAGUUAGAAGAAGAAAACUCAGAGAUCUGGUUCUCUGUUUCAGAUCGUAGCUUAGAGUCUCGUUUAGGGUUUCGGUUUCGAUCGAUCCCUAUUUUUCAGACACACACAACACAAACGCUUUCAUCUCUCAAUUUCGCUUUUCGAUCCGUUCAUUUUCAUCAUCUAUGGCGGCGAUCGAAGAAGUAUCGGUCCUCGCUGAUUCCAUGCGUCAAGCUUCUGCGUUACUCGCGGACGAAGAUACCGGCGAAACUUCCAAUUCUAGAAGACCUUCAACUUUCUUCAACGUUGUUUCUCUCGGCAACAUCGCAAGUCUCCACAAUUUCAAUUCUCAUGAUCACAAUCGUUAUCGUAGCUUCAAUUUUGUUGUUUUUUGCGAUUUUGAUUUCAAUUUCGAUUUUCUAGGGUUUUUGUAAAUCAGCGGUUUUGAACAAUUUAAUUGGACAUCCAGUUCUGGUAAGUUAGGUUUUGAAACUCUUUAAUCUCAAUUUGGAAGAUGAAAUGAAAUUGAAAGUGGUUAAUGCCGUAUAUAUUCAUAUCCGUUGUUUUGUUUUCUUCAGGUGCUUUAAGACAUUCAUUGCAGGUCUGUGUAUGAAUGAUUGAUGAUUGAUUUUGGUUACCUUAAUGUGUUUUAUUUAGAGUAUUAGAUAUAAUAGAGCAAUACAGAUAUGAAAAGGUAAUAAAUUUCUUGAUUAUUACCAUUUCCCAUCCAAAGUUGCUGUCUUUCUUGACAAUACAGUAGUCAUCUGGUGAAUUUUUUGUAUAACCGGGUAGCAAACUGGGUUGAAAUUAACCCAAGCAAAAACAACUCAGUUAUUUUUAAUUAUGGUCGUAUAGAAUCAUCCAGAACUGCACGAGUUCACAACAAUUCACGUGAUUUUGCUUCAUUCUCAAUUCUACACACACACACACACGAUCGGAUCGUGAUUUUCAUAACAAUGAUUAUGAGGCCAGAUCAUUUCUGAUAGUUCCCUGUAUCUGAACCCUGUAAAAUACUUAUUUCUAUAUAAACAUUGAAUCAUUUCAUUUAUCAGACAGAUCUAGUGUGUUUGCGGUACCAUAGUUUUUUCUCUUGUACCAUGAUUUCUAACAUCUAUCCUCCCAGCUCCACCUCUGAAGUUGGUUGAUUUACCUGGGUUGGAUCAGCGCACCAUGGAUGGAUCAAGAGUAAGAGGUAUUGUACCUGCAGCUCAAGCACCCGAACUUGCUUCAUCUUGAGACCCAAGAAUGGCAAAGGAAUAUGAUGCAGAAGAUGCAAAAACCAUUCAAUUUAGAGACAAAGUCGUAAAGAAGAGUGGGAUCUGAAAAAUAUUUAUGGGAUGAAAAUUGAAAAGAAGGUCGCUGAUAUGGUUAGUGAAGAUCAAGUUGAUAUUUUAUGUUGGUAGAACUUAUUGGUCAUAUUGCAAACAAUACGUGGGGAAUGAUGACAUGUCGACUUGCUCUAGGGAUGUAGCCCUUAGAUCUAUUUGGACGUUAACUCAGCUAAUCUACUUGCACCUCAACUCAGCUAUGCCAUGUAUUUAAUGUGUUUUAAGGGAUAGAGAUGGCAUUGGUCGAAUUCUGAAUAGCCUAACCAGACUUAUUUACCUUAGUAGCUAGAAGAUAUACUCCUUGGACUCUCUCCUCAGGGAUUGGGUAGGCGAUGUAUGAGAUUAUAUCAACAAUUCACAUCUUGGGACAUCCUGAACAGCCUCUGGUGAUAGGAUAUCUAUCUCUUAUUAUUUUACACACUCUAUGUCAUAUUUCAUAGAAGCUCCCCUUAUCUAUCACGACUACGCCAAAUAUAAAAGGAUUGUUUAUUCAGCUGUUGUCAAGAUGCAAGAACCAUUCAGUUUAGAGACAAAGUCGUAAAGAAACGUGGGAUCUGGAAAAAAAUUUAUGGGACUGGUGAAAAGAAGGUCACCGAUAUGGUUAGAGAAGAUCAAGUUGAUAUUUUGGUAGAACUUACUGGUCAUAUUACAAACAAUACACUGGGAAUGAUGGCAUGUCGACUUGCUCUAGGUAUUUUUCUUAAUUCUGUAUGUAUACUUUUUUCCUUUGUUUUUCAACUUACAUAUUUUCUUAUUCUUACUUUCUACACAACACAUAUAUAUAGUUUUCCUUUUUAUAUUCCA